Molecule: unclassified non-coding RNA, 164 nt
Filed under: rhizosphere metagenome
Description: partial ribosomal RNA internal transcribed spacer region
Source: RNAcentral
GUAGGUGAACCUGCGGAAGGAUCAUUACUGAUUUGGCGGACCGAGCGUCAGCGAGGUUCCGCGAUCGUCUAUAUUUAAAACCCACACCUUGAAUUAUAUAUUUUUGUAUUUUUAAAUGAUAAAAUAAAAAAAGAUCACUUUCAACAACGGAUCUCUUGGCUCUC